GAGGCCUUGACCCAGGCUGUUUGGUUGGACUCACUGACCUGACCCCUCCAUCUCCCCAACUCACUGUGCCCCAAGGUAUCUUGGAAAAAUCCCCAAAGAAGAUAUGGCAGUUUUGUUUGUGUGGCCUGUGAGCUGGGAUGGGAGCUGAGUCCAGAGUCCAUAAGAGCCCCCACCCACUCUCCUGGGCAGCAACGAAAGACCACCAGGAAUGUCCAACAGGGAAUAGAUUUAUGGCCAAGCUAGGAGGAGCAUCCCUGUGAAGACACCUACGGAGUCGUUUCGACAGGAGAAUUUACAAGCGCCCUCCUUCGCUUGCUACUGAGUGGAAAAAUACACUGAGCCCAGAGCAGUGAACUCCUUGCCAAGGCCUGUGACUCAUCUCCAAGUCAUAAAUAACGGGUCCCUCAUGACAAAGCAGAGAAGGGAGCCGGGCCCAGGGCCACGUAUUUAUUAGAAAAGAGAGUGGAACCAUUAGUCGGGGGCUUGGUUUCCAGGAAACUCAAACCACACCACAGUAGAGAAGGUCAGGAGGCCCUUCCACAGGAAUUCAGACCUGACAUUUUUUUCAUAUUCUCAAACUUUCAUGUGGGGAGGAGACCCCUGCUACAUCCACCAGAGGCAUCCCCUGGCCACCCAGUUCCAUGGGCCAGGAGGAGUCUUGCUGUUUCCCAGGCCCUGGGGGCCACUCCACCAUCCCCUGCCCCUGAUACUUUUGAUGGCGACCAGGGGAGGCAGAACCGCCUGUCUCGGUGGCCCCACUGACAUCAGGAAACGUUUAGUGCCUGAGAAGUGUGACCUCUGACGAGUUACGACUCCUCCUGAGGCCUCCAUUUCACAAACCUUCCAGGACCGCUGUCAGAAUGAGGUGGGGGAGUAGACUCAGGACCGUGCAAGCCCAUGGGAUGAGCUCACAGCCAUGAGCGGCAUGGUCUAAGGGAAGAAGGAAAGAGAAGAGAAGAGAAAAGUUGGCUCUGCUGGUCUCUCCCUCUGGGUUGUUCCCCUUGUCUCUGUGCUCUUCUCUGUCUCUGAUUAUAAAGGACUCAGAAUCUAAAGGAUAAUAGAUGCAGAUGGAUGGAACAAUAAAUCGUGUGGACUGUUGAUAAAACCUUUGUGCUUGAAGAAAAUACAACUGUGUGUGGUUCUGAGAAGGCUGAACUCA
This 1159-nucleotide long non-coding RNA is filed under the name Homo sapiens (human). RNAcentral describes it as "non-protein coding lnc-DYSF-1:1". Lineage: Eukaryota; Metazoa; Chordata; Mammalia; Primates; Hominidae. The record is from RNAcentral.